Molecule: transfer RNA, 76 nt
Filed under: Planctomycetaceae bacterium
Lineage: Bacteria; Pseudomonadati; Planctomycetota; Planctomycetia; Planctomycetales; Planctomycetaceae
Description: tRNA-Lys
Rfam family: tRNA
About the family: Transfer RNA (tRNA) molecules are approximately 80 nucleotides in length. Their secondary structure includes four short double-helical elements and three loops (D, anti-codon, and T loops).
Source: RNAcentral
GCCCGCAUAGCUCAGUUGGCAGAGCAGCUGACUCUUAAUCAGCGGGUCGUAGGUUCGAGCCCUACGGGGGGCACCU